AGAGUUUGAUCCUGGCUCAGGAUGAACGUUGGCGGCGUGCCUAAUACAUGCAAGUCGAACGAGAAGCUUUGACCUCGGUUGAAGCGGAGAGUGGCGCACGGGUGAGUAACACAUGGCUGACCUGCCCUUCAGAGGGGGACAACCACUAGAAAUGGUGGCUAAUACCCCAUAUGCUCACGGAGUUUAGAAAUUUGUGAGGAAAAGCUGAGGCGCUGAAGGAGGGGGCUGUGGUCCAUCAGCUAGUUGGUGUGGUAAAGGCGCACCAAGGCGAAGACGGAUAGGGGGCCUGAGAGGGUGACCCCCCACAUGGGCACUGAGACACGGGCCCAACUCCUACGGGAGGCAGCAGUAAGGGAUAUUGCGACAAUGGACGAAAGUCUGACGCAGCAACGCCGCGUGUGGGAUGAAGGCCUUCGGGUUGUAAACCACUUUUCUGUGGGAAGAGGAAGGACGGUACCACAGGAAUAAGUCUCGGCUAACUACGUGCCAGCAGCCGCGGUAAAACGUAGGAGGCGAACGUUAUCCGGAUUUACUGGGUGUAAAGCGCGUGCAGGCGGAUGCGUAAGUCGUGCGUGAAAGCGCCCAGGCUCAACCGGGCGAGGACGUGCGAAACUGCGUGACUAGAGGUAGGUAGAGGCGUGUGGAAUUCCGGGUGUAGUGGUGAAAUGCGUAGAUAUCCGGAGGAACACCAGUGGCGAAGGCGACGCGCUGGACCUAACCUGACGCUAAGACGCGAAAGCAUGGGUAGCGAACGGGAUUAGAAACCCCGGUAGUCCGUGCCGUAAACGAUGCAUACUAGAUGUUGCGGUGAUGAGCUGCAGUGUCGAAGCAAACGUGAUAAGUAUGCCACCUGGGGACUACGGCCGCAAGGUUAAAACUCAAAGGAAUUGACGGGGGCCCGCACAAGCAGCGGGGCGUGUGGUUUAAUUCGAGCUACACGAAGAACCUUACCUGGGCUUGACAUAUAAGUGGUAGGGAAGCGAAAGCGGACCGACCUUCGGGAGCUUAUACAGGUGCUGCAUGGCUGUCGUCAGCUCGUGUCGUGAGAUGUCCGGUUAAGUCCGGUAACGAGCGCAACCCUCGCCGUUAGUUACAAGUGUCUAACGGGACUGCCCGUUGAACGCGGGAGGAAGGUGGGGAUGACGUCAAGUCAGCAUGGCCUUUAUGUCCAGGGCUACACACACGCUACAAUGGCCGGUACAAUGGGUCGCCAACCCGCGAGGGGGAGCAAAUCCAACAAAGCCGGUCUCAGUUCAGAUUGCAGGCUGAAACUCGCCUGCAUGAAGUCGGAGUUGCUAGUAACCGCAGGUCAGCUAUACUGCGGUGAAUACGUUCCCGGGCCUUGUACACACCGCCCGUCACGUCAUGGAAGCUGGUCAUGCCUGAAGUCGGUGGGUUAACCGUAAGGAGACAACCGCCUAAGGCAGGGCUG
This 1432-nucleotide ribosomal RNA is filed under the name metagenome. RNAcentral's name for it is "bacterial SSU rRNA". It matches the Rfam family "Bacterial small subunit ribosomal RNA". The record is from RNAcentral.